Non-coding RNA from Rattus norvegicus (Norway rat), 10442 nucleotides. Lineage: Eukaryota; Metazoa; Chordata; Mammalia; Rodentia; Muridae. The record is from RefSeq and is a predicted model, not a curated record.
UUCUUCAGUUUUAUUUUCCAUGAUUGUUCAAUUCUCCUUAUCGCAAACACUGCACAUGUCAAACUGUUGGUUUAUCCAGGAUCAAUCAUUCCUUUGGUUAGUAAAUAAACAUGUUUGUGCAAAAAAAGAAAGAAGAUAAAAGAAAAUGUGACUUUCCUUUUCGAGGCUCACAACCCCAAUCUCAGGAGUGUCUUGAUCUUGGCCCGAGCACCUUUCUUUCUAACUUUCAUGUUUAAUUAAAUCUGUUGAACUUACUUUCAAAAACAAUUCUAACUGUGCUUCAAACCAGCUCAUCCUGACUCCUUUUCCCAGAAGAUAUGAAGGAUCCAGCUCCUCCUGAGUGGAAGUCCCUAGAGGAUAAGGGUUCCUGAGACUGGGCAGCAAUUCUGGGCCGGCUGGCUCCUCCAUGCUUUCGCUGACAAGCUGAAAUGUGAGGGCUGUCUUGCCUCUGGCCUCUUUAGUUUAACCAGCAAAGCUAGGAAAGACAAAAGAAGCAUGUUCGGGGACAAAGAGUCAUCAGAGCAGGGCAGGAUUGGACGUGACAAAAGGUACAGUUGCUCUCAUUUGAUGAUUAGAUGGUACAGUAUCAGGCACACAAUGCUAAUAUCUCUAUGUAUGUAUCACCAGGACAGCUUUGUGAUGGUUAGUAUUGGUCGUCAACUUGAGAGAACCUGGAAGGGGGCCUCUGCAUGAUUUUCUUGAUGACAUUCAUGGAGGCGAAAAUGGAACGUUUUACGUAGAAGAGAGUUGGCGGUACUAGUGAGCACCUGUGCAUUCCCUCAUCUCUAUUCCAGCUGCUCUAUUCUGCUGCUCUAACUUGCCUACCAUCACGGACUGUCCUUUGAAGUAUAAAUCGAAACAAACCCUUUCUCCCCUCAGUUGCUGUUGUCAGGGUAGUUUAUUACAGCAACAAGAAAAGAAAGUAAGGUGAGCUUUAAUCAUGGAGUUUCAUGAACUCAGUGCCUUUUCUAUACAAGUAUAAACCCACACAUUUUGAAGAAUAUCUAGCUAAACACUAAAAAUUAUCUGUGGCGUCACAUUCUUUACUCCACAUAUUUAUGUGUUUGCUGUGUAUAUAUACACACACAUAUAACAUCUCUAUAUGUAAUUCACGUUAUGGAGCACUGUGCAGAGAAUGUCCUAGAGUGAGUGGUUUUAAGAGAGAUGCCUCUGACUCUCUCUCACAUCUGAGAAUGAGGAUUUGAGCAAAUUAUUUCUAGGAGACCCUGACUGGUAAGGCAGGCAUGCAUUGCGGACAUCUUAGCAAUUUGGGGCUCUCGUUGGCUACCCACAUCCACCUGUCCUAAUUGUCUGAAAAGUUAUUUAUUUAUAUUUUACCUAAAAUAUAUCAUUCCGUCCACCUUCACACUGGGCAGCCUAAUCCCUUUACCUGCAUGUACCAUGCACACGCCUCUCUGAAAGAUGCACCCAGUGACUUUGGAUUUCCACUCAACAUAAAUGCACACGCACCCCUCUCUGAACAAUGUGAUGGGUUUCUUUUACCUUGAAAACCGUCAAACUUAGAUUGUAUUCAGUUCCAUGAUCCCUAUGUCUGGACAGAAUGGAAAGGCUGACAGCUCUGGUUGAGACGAAUGUGCAAUAAGGCAAAAUUGUGGCCUUUUAGGAACAAUAUCCCAACUUAUGCCUUUGCAUAAUUGUAUACAUAUUAUGGGGGAGGGACAUGCACUAUAAAUGUGACCUGAUGUACCAAAAUAGAAAACCACCCAAACUAUCUCCCUGGUAAACAACCAAAUUUUCUCUUAAAUCCCCAAUGAGAGAGCCAUAUUUGGACCCAUCCUAUACUCCCUCAUGUGGCCUGCUGCUAUCUUGUGAUGUGUUUUCUGAACUGUCCUAGAGAUUUCCUUUGAAGAGUUUGUGACUUGUGUAAUUUGUCUUUUCGGAUAAGAGACCAAGGACCCAGAAACAUCUGAAGAAACAUCUCAAGCCCUACUCAUGGCCACACUGGAACCUUGCUCUCAAGCCCGUUUAGAUUCAUGCUGCAAUUAUGCUCUGCUUCUUGUCUUUGGCACGUGGGUUUCUCCAGAGUCCAGCAGCAGUCCUGAUGUGGCUACCAUAUGGACUCAAACUGUUCCAGCGGCUGAUUCCUGUUCAGCCCCCAUCAACGCAGCAUGCUAACUACUUUUAAAAAGUUCCAUUACAGCUCCCCAUCUGAUGCUGCUGUCUGGGGUUGGAGCCUUUAGAGGAAGGUCUGGCUAGCAGAGAAUGGUCACUAUGGGUGAGUCUCUGAAAGUCUGGCCAGAUCCUCAGUUCCAGAACUGCUCUCUGCUUUGCUAAUGUGUACACAGUUGCUACCUUAACCUCUCUCCACGCUUCCCCACCCAGGAUGGACUGAGACCCUCUGAAAGUAUAAGGUGAAACUCCCUUGUUUGUCACAAAUUUUGCCAUAGGAAUGCCAAAGUAAGACAAGUUUCAAUUUUAUCUCUUUUUCUUUUUCUGAAAUAGGUCCUACUAUGCAACCCUGGGUAGCCUAGAAAUCUGUGUAGCCCCAGGCUGGCCUCAGAGACCUGCCUGUCUCCUUUCUAGGACGACAGAAUCAAAUACACUACACCAGUGUAUUUAUUCAUAUUUAAAUGAUUGUUCUUUUGUUUAUGAAGUAGAUUCUAUCUGGCCCAGACUGUUGUUGGAUUCAGAAUCUUGCUACCAUAAUACCCUAAAACUAGGAUUACAGAAAUGCACCUCUCCACCUAUUUUUCAGGUUAACUGCAUCUGGAAUCAACUAAAACCCAGAGCUGGGCACCCCUGUGAGACUUUUCUUGAAUUCUUUGAGGUAGGAAUACCCACCCUAAAUCUGGGCCACACCUUCUUCUAGUAGCCUACAUGAAGGACAAGGGAGGAAGCUUUUGCUUUUUGCCUGUUUGCCAUUAUGCUUGCUGGCAAGCUCAUCUAUCCUGCUGCUGGGUGAUUCCUUUGCUGAUAUUCAAAUGUACUUACUUCUUCAAGAUUCCAAUGGAUUUUGAAGACCAGCCGAGUCGUCCAUUCUUAUGGUCUGAACAAUUAUUGGAUUCUUGACUUUGUUAGAAGACAGCCAUUGUUGGAAUAGACCCACAGCCAGGAAGCCACUCUAAUAAAUCCACUCUCUAUCAGUAGUGUUCUACAGAACGAAUUCAGACGGUGGUACCAGGAGUGGGGUAGGUGUUCUGACUUCAAAUGAUCCUAUCAUUACAAGUUUGCCUAGAUGCUUCCCUUUUAGUUGACUGCAGAUAUAGCCAAGGUGAUACCAAGAUCAGCUAUCACACAUGAUCUAACUGUAUAGCCCACAUAGACAGCAACCGUGGCAAUCCAUGGCAUGAGCCACCAUGCCCAGCUUCCUUGUCUGUCAAUGCUGUACUCAGGGUUUCCUAUUUAGUAGCAAAAUGUUUCUUAACUGUGUCUUCACAUGCUUUCUCUGGAUUCUGUAUAUUUUCUGAUUAUUUAUUAGACUUAAGGUGUAUCAUUCUUUCAUAUUCAUGUUUUUUUUUUUUUUUUUUUUUGUAACUGCUCAACUUUCUGAACAGCAUGUUUCAACCUGUCAGGGAUGGCUUUAAACUGUGCCAAGCUGAAUGCAGACAUGGUACCAGUGCACCUUCUCAAAUUAGUGUGAUUAGUCAUUUGGAUGCUGCUGGAAAACUUGGACAAAGCACAUUGUUCUGUUUCUAAAAAAAUCAUGAAGUUUUUGUUUUCCGAGACUAGGUCUUGCUAGCUUUGUCUCACACUUAAGAGUGGGGGUUUAGGGCCUUGGACAUGCUAAGCACAUAUCCUAUGACUGGGCACACUGCCAGCCUUAGACAUAAUUUGAUGACUGUAGUUUUCUAAACUAUUAAAGCCAAUGAAUGUAUUGGACUCUGAAGCAACAGCUAACUGUGAGAGGGCUGUAAAACAAACCUGAAUGCAAACAGAAGAGCCUGAGAAACCACUUGCAAUAACACAAGACUUUAUUUAUGUGGGGCAUGGGGAUGGGGGUGGGGAGGGGUGGAGCUUGGGAUAAGUUACUAUUUAAGAGCUCUUGCUGCCCUUCCAGGACUCAGGUCUCAACACUGAGGUUGGGCAGAUCACAACAGCCUGUAACUCCAGCCCCAGGGGACACAAUGCCCUCUCUGGUCUCCAUGAACACUAGCACAUGUGAACAUAUUCAUUUCUCUUCCUUGCUGGCAAUUCAGGAAUUCUAACUAUCAUGUUUCUAGUGGUGUUGGAGAGGUAUCCCGGGACCACUUUGAGCAACACACACUUACCCACUUCAUAUGACCACUCCGUUGCUCAGGUUUCUGGUCGGGUUGUUUAGGGCACACCAUGUAUGCUGUACUGCAGAGCAUCUUGCCCAUGCAGUCGUAGUGAUGACUCUUCCAAGUGUCAUACAGACUCAGCUAUUCUGUUUUUAUUUUCUCAUGGUAGACCUGGAAGGCUUAGAAACCUGGCUGUGACAGUCAGAAGAGCUCCAAAUACUACAAAGUCUUCGAUGGCAGUAUAGAUGCCUUCUGACUUUGCAAAAGAAACAAUGGACUUAAAUGCAAAUGUUUCACUGGACUAAAUCUUGUAAUAUAGAAUUCUAUUUAGAAGCUUUGAUUUAUAUUUUAUUCACUGAGUUUGAAAGGAACAGUACUUUUUUUCAAAGGGUCGCUCAGCAGCCCAGUGUGGCUUGAAAUUCAUGGCAAUCGUGAGCUACCUACCAGGCCAAGUUCUUGUUUUAACAUUCUGAUUCAGACUGCCCUAUGUCCACAAAUCUGCCUCCCCCAGGUCAAUCUGAAACUGCCUUAAGCAGUCACUUUGGAAUAUAUUACAUUUUUAUUCCUGCGAUGCCAGGGAUCAAAAUGCACUGUACAUGUGUGGCAAGCACUCUACCCUGGACAUUUCACCUCAACCACGUACCAGUUAUUUGGGGGUGGUGGUGAAUCUGAGUUACUAAAGGAAUAACACUACAAAACAGCACUCCCCCUUUUUUCCAAUAUAGGAGUUUGUUUUCUGUGAUAGGGUGUACUCAGCUCCAGCUGGCCUUGAACUUCUGUUCCUGUGUGCUCAGAUUACAGGUGUGGGCCUUAAUUUUAUUCUUUUUUUUUUUUUUUUUUUUUUGGUUCUUUUUUUAGGAGCUGGGGACCGAACCCAGGGCCUUGCGCUUCCUAGGUAAGUGCUUUACCACUGAGCUAAAUCCCCAGCCCCUUAAUUUUAUUCUUAAACCAUACUCCUAACUCCUUUUCCUGAGUGUUCUGAUUGUAUUAUGCAUCAUGUUUAGUCAUGGCUGCCAAGAGGAAAUACGAAGUCCGAGUCCAUCUGGAUUCACACAAGCCAACUUAACAGCUUUCAGCUGAACACCAUUUGUAGACUCUAUUCUUCCUGCUCUUUCUAUAGCUGUUUUUAAAGCUCAAAUGUCAAGUAGGUCACUUCCAGGCUAGUGGUGUUUGUUUCCUUCCUCAGCAUUAGUCAUCCCUAUUCAGUCAGAGGCAUCGUUUAUUUGGAAAUAGGAAAAACACUGUCUCUCUCAUUUCUGAGAACUGUACCUCAAUCUAAUCUCUAGUAUACACUGCGCUCAGUGUUAUAAUCUCUAGUAAAUGGGCACUAUAAAUAAACUCUUAUCCAUGUAGCCAUACUGGUUAGGAACUGACAUAUUAAAAAGUUAUUUCACCCUGUAAGCAAAAUAAGUAAGCAUUGAUUAAAUCAUUAAGAAAUAGGAAAGGAACAUUAUGAUGAAAAUUUAGUCAUUAAAAUUCAGAAUUUAGCAUUGGAGAGCAAAUCGAUUUGUGCUGCAAAGUUCAAAGGGGUCAUUGAAGCAACUCCAGCACAUGGCAGUCUGAGGCAGGAGGGUAGCAUGGUCAAGGAAGCCUGGCCUCUGUAGCUAGAAUACAAAAGAAUUAGUCAUAUUACUUAAAGGAAGAUAAUAGCAUCUAGGAGCCUCACCACAGUAUUGCUAAUCAAUCAACUUGGAGCAAGCAGCUCCUCGCCUGGUUUCUUUGUGCAUUUCUAAAAUGCAGGGUCAGGCUAUACAGUCACCAAGCGUAAGAUUUCCAGGUUUACUUUGCUUUCUGUAAUGUAAUUCCUGUCUAGGGAAAGCUGUCUUAAGCCAAGUGUUGGUUAUGUAGAAUUCAUAAAUGUACCAAGAAUAUGACAAUUGCUUCCAGCUACAAUUUCAAAGCUCAUUUUAUUUAUUAAGCUCUUAAACAGAAUGCCUAUACGUAUUAAGAAAAAGAACUGCCAAGUAGCAGGCACAUUACCACACUUGGGAGGCGGAGGCUGGCAGUUCUGAGUUCAAAACCCUGUCUUAAAAACAGAUUGCGAUAUAUCUAUACAUAUAAUAGAUAGAGAUAGAUAGAUAGAUAGAUAGAUAGAUAGAUAGAGAUAGAGAUUUAUAGAUAUAUAUCUCUAUCUAUCCAUCCAUCCCCCUUACAUAGGACAAAGAACUGGUAAAUUUGCCAAGGUUCAUGUUCAGAAAAGUAUGACACUGAUAAAAUAUUGUUACAAUUUUCUGAUCUACCAAAAGGCAAGUAUGUAGUAAAUAAGCCUACAUUAAAAACCCCACAACUUUGGGUUAAACAAACAUUGUCUCUUAAACCACAAACCAAAGAAAAAUUAGCAGAAGGAAACAAAUAAUGAUUGAGAUAAAGAGACUAAAGAAAACAACAGAAAUGAUCAAUGAAACAUAUUAGACUGGUCUGAGAGACGCAUGGGUUUCCACAGCAGGCCAAAGAGCUGGCUUUCUGAAAAGACUGACAAACCUUUACUUGGAUUAACCAAGAAGAGGUGUAGGUGCCACACACAAAGAGGCGAGAACAUAAUAACCAACAUCAUUCAAGGGCUCAGUAGGGACUAUAGUGGAGAAUUACAUGCUAACUGAAAAGUCCUCUAGAACAGAAUUCUUUUUUUUUUUUUUUUUUUUUUUGGUUCUUUUUUUCGGAGCUGGGGACCGAACCCAGGGCCUUGCGCUUCCUAGGUAAGCGCUCUACCACUGAGCUAAAUCCCCAGCCCCUAGAACAGAAUUCUUAAUACCUACGUCGUACAGAAAUAGAUCCAUGAGACCUUAAACAGACCAGUUAACAGAAGAUUGAAUCUGUUGUUAAAUCUCUCAACCAAAGCUUUGUCAGAUGGCUUCAUGGAUGGAUUCUGUCAAAACUAAGAGAAUUAAUUACUUACUUUCAACCCAUUCAAAAGGCAUAAAUGGGAGGGAAUAUAUCUGUUAAAAGUUUCAAUGGGACCCACUUGGUAUCUGGCUAAAGUGCUGUUUUGGGAGGUUGUGGGAUCUUUACCCGAUGUAUGGCGUAGGGCCGGACAGGAGGAAGUGGGUCCUAAGGAAUGAGCUGUCUGGGUUGCUACCCAGGUCUGGGCUCAGAACAGACUGCACUUCAGUGAUGUGAACAGGCAGGCAGUCUCCUGCUGCCAUGAACUGUAUCAUCCUGGCUAGAAUAGAAUAUACCCUCAAAUGGCAAGCUAAGAUAAAUCUCCCUCCUUUAAAGAGAUCUUUAAAUUGUCUCUUAUCAGGUAUUUUGAUCACAGUGGCACACUUUCCAAACCCAUUCUUAGCAGCUGGUACCACACAAGGACACACCACAAAAAGAAAACAAUAUUCCUCAUGAACAGAGAUGCAAAAAUCUUGCAAAAGAACCAGUAAGACCAUCAGUGAAGUACACACAGAAGUGAAAUGGUGAGGGGCUAGGAAAGAAACAUUGAUUAAGACCCUUGCCUUUGGACAUCUGGCUUCUUAAACUAAGAGAAUUUAAAUUUUGCUGUCAAACCCCAAAAUGGUUGAGCUGGUUUAAGUCUAGAGAUGAUAGCAUGCCAAUCACCAACAGGAUGAAGGAUUAAAGAACACAUGAUCAUCUCAAAUGUGCAAAAAAUUUUUUUCAUUAAGUUCAAUGAUGCAUUGCGAUAAAAACAUGAAAGAUUCAGAAAAACCACCUUAACCGAACAAGUACAUAGACGAACCCAGUCAGUGUUGCAGUGAGUGAGGAAAAGCUGAGAGCAGUACCAACAGCAGUAAGCGGCUUUCAUGGACACUGGUCCUAUUCAGCACAACACAAAGAGAUUUGGUUAGAAAAAACCACACAAGAACAACACAAAAAGCAUAUGAAUAGGAAGGAAAUCAAAUUAUUCCUGUGUGCAGGUGAUACUACAUUUAGAAAAGCUCAAGGUUCUAUAAAAAGAUCAGAAAGAAUAAGCAAAUUCAAUAAUGUAGAUUCAAAAUUAAUAGCUUUUCUACACAUUAGUACAAAACGGGCUAAAAACCAGCUGGGGGGAGGUGGCCCACGCCUUUAGUCCCACACUAUCGAGGCAGAGUCAAAUGGAUCCCCAAGUUCGCUGCUAGUCCGAUCUACAGAGUGAGUUCCAGAACAGCCAGGACUAUACAGAGAAACCCUGUCUUGAAAAACAAGAAAAGAAAAACAGUAGCCUUCUUCUACUCAAAGGAUAAACAGGCUCAGAAAGAAAUUAGAGAAACGACACCCUUUACAAUAGUCACAAAUAACAUAAAAUACCUCAGUGUGACUCUAACCAAGCAAGGAAAGAUCUGUAUGACAAGAACUUCAAGUCUCUGAAGAAAGAAAUUGAAGAUGAUCUCAGAAGAUGGAAAGACCGCCCAUGCUCAUGGAUUGGCAGGAUUAAUACAGUAAAACUAGUCAUCUUGCCAAAAGCAAUCUACAGAUUCACUGCAGUCCCCAUCAAAAUUCCAAGUCAGUUCUUCAUAGAGUUAGAAAGAGCAAUUUGCAAAUUCAUUUGGAAUAACAAAACCCAGGAUAGCAAAAACUAUCCUCAACAAUAAAAGAACUGGGGAAAUCUAACCUCAAGCAGUAUUACAGAGCAAUAGUGAUAAAAACUGUAUGAUAUUGGUACAGAGACAGGUGGGUAGAUCAAUGGAAUAGAAUUGAAGACCCAGAAAUGAACCCACACACCUAUUAUGGUCAGUUAAUCUUUGACAAUGGAACUAAAACCAUUCGGUGGACAAAACACCGCAUUUUCAACAAAUGGUGCUGGUUCAACUGGAGGUCUGCCUGUAGAAGAAUGCAGAUCGAUCCAUUCUUAUCUCUUUGUACAAAGCUCAAGUCCAAAUGGAUCAAGGACCUCCACAUCAAACCAGAUACAUGCAAACUAAUAGAAGAGAAAGUGGGGAGGAGUCUCAAACACAUGGGCACAGAGAAAAAUUUCCUGAACAGAACACCAGUGGCUUAUGCUCAAAGCUUCUGUAAGGUAAAGGACACUGUCAUUAGGACAAAAUGGCAACCAACAAAUUGGGAAAAUAUCUUUACCAAUCGUACAUCCUAUAGAGGGCUAAUAUUUAAUAUAUACAAAGAACUCAAGAAGUUAGACUCCAGAGAAUCAAAUAAUCCUAUUAAAAAUGGGGUACAGAGCUAAACAAAGAAUUUUCAAUGAGGAAUACCGAAUGGCUGAGAAGCACCUAAAGAAAUGUUCAACAUCUUUUGUUGUCAGGGAAAUGAAAAUCAAAACAAGCCUAAGAUUCUACCUCACACCAGUCACAAUGUGACAGCUGAUGCUGCCGAGGAUGUGGGGAGAAAGAGGAACACUCCUCCAUUGUUGGUGGGAUUGCAAGCUGGUACAACCAUUCUGAAAAUCAGCCUGGAGGUUCCUCAGAAAAUUGGACAUAGUGCUACCUGAGGACCCAGUUAUAUCACUCCUGGGCAUAUACCCAAAAGAUGCAUAUAACAAGGACACAUGCUCCACUAUGUUCAUAGCAGCCUUAUUCAUAAUAGCCAGGAGCUGGAAAGAUCCCAGAUGCCCUUCAACAGAGGAAUGGCUACAGAAAAUGUGGUACAUCUACACAAUGGAGUGCUAUUCAGCUAUAAAAAACAAUGACUUCAUGAAAUUCAUAGGCAAAUGGAUGGAACUAGAAAAUAUCAUCUUACAUGGUACAACCCAAUCAUAGAAAAGCAUACAUGGUAUGCACUCAUUGAUAAGUGGAUAUUAGCCCAAAAGCUCAGAUUACCCAAGAUACAAUCCACAGACCACAUGAAGGUCAAGAAGGGCAACCAGAGCGCAAGGCCCUGGGUUCGGUCCCCAGCUCCGAAAAAAAGAACAAAAAAAAAAAAAAAAAAAAGAAGGGCAACCAGCCCAUAUACAUACAGCCACCAAACCCAGACAAUAUUGCUGAUGCCAAGAAGUGCAUGCUGACAGGAGCCUGAUAUAGCUGUCUCCUGAGAGGCUCUGGCAGAGCAUGACGAAUACAGAGGCAAAUGCUUGCAGCCAACCAUUGAACUGAGAACGGGGUCCCUAUUCGAGGAAUUAGAGAAAGGAUUGAAGGAGCUGAAGGAGUUUACAACCCCAUAAGCACAAUAUCAACCAACCAGAGCUCCCAGGGACUAAACAACCAUCCAAAGACUACACAUGGACAGACCCAGGGCUCCAGCUGCAUAUGUAGCAGAGGAUAGCCUUGUUGGGCACCAAUGGGAGGAAAAGCCCUUGGUCCUGCCAAGGCUGGACCCCAAGUGUAGGGGAAUGUCAGGGUGGGAAGG